Molecule: transfer RNA, 72 nt
Rfam family: tRNA
About the family: Transfer RNA (tRNA) molecules are approximately 80 nucleotides in length. Their secondary structure includes four short double-helical elements and three loops (D, anti-codon, and T loops). Further hydrogen bonds mediate the characteristic L-shaped molecular structure. tRNAs have two regions of fundamental functional importance: the anti-codon, which is responsible for specific mRNA codon recognition, and the 3' end, to which the tRNAs corresponding amino acid is attached (by aminoacyl-tRNA synthetases). tRNAs cope with the degeneracy of the genetic code in two manners: having more than one tRNA (with a specific anti-codon) for a particular amino acid; and 'wobble' base-pairing, i.e. permitting non-standard base-pairing at the 3rd anti-codon position.
GGGGAUUUGGCGCAGUGGCAGCGCGCCCGCUUUGCAUGUGGGAGGCCAUGGGUUCAAACCCCAUAAUCUCCA